UAGCAUAUCAAUAAGCGGAGGAAAAGAAACCAACAGGGAUUGCCCUAGUAACGGCGAGUGAAGCGGCAACAGCUCAAAUUUGAAAUCUGGCUCUUUCAGAGUCCGAGUUGUAAUUUGCAGAGGGCGCUUUGGCUUUGGCAGCGGUCCAAGUUCCUUGGAACAGGACGUCACAGAGGGUGAGAAUCCCGUACGUGGUCGCUAGCUAUUGCCGUGUAAAGCCCCUUCGACGAGUCGAGUUGUUUGGGAAUGCAGCUCUAAAUGGGAGGUAAAUUUCUUCUAAAGCUAAAUACUGGCCAGAGACCGAUAGCGCACAAGUAGAGUGAUCGAAAGAUGAAAAGCACUUUGGAAAGAGAGUCAAACAGCACGUGAAAUUGUUGAAAGGGAAGCGCUUGCAGCCAGACUUGCUUGCAGUUGCUCAUCCGGGCUUUUGCCCGGUGCACUCUUCUGCAGGCAGGCCAGCAUCAGUUUGGGCGGUGGGAUAAAGGUCUCUGACACGUUCCUUCCUUCGGGUUGGCCAUAUAGGGGAGACGUCAUACCACCAGCCUGGACUGAGGUCCGCGCAUCUGCUAGGAUGCUGGCGUAAUGGCUGUAAGCGGCCCGUCUUGAAACACGGACCAAGGAGUCUAACAUCUAUGCGAGUGUUUGGGUGUCAAGCCCGAGCGCGUAAUGAAAGUGAACGGAGGUGGGAACCCGCAAGGGUGCACCAUCGACCGAUCCUGAAGUUUACGGAAGGAUUUGAGUAAGAGCAUGGCUGUUGGGACCCGAAAGAUGGUGAACUAUGCUUGAAUAGGGUGAAGCCAGAGGAAACUCUGGUGGAGGCUCGCAGCGGUUCUGACGUGCAAAUCGAUCGUCAAAUUUGGGCAUAGGGGCGAAAGACUAAUCGAA
Molecule: ribosomal RNA, 885 nt
Filed under: Curvularia australiensis
Lineage: Eukaryota; Fungi; Ascomycota; Dothideomycetes; Pleosporales; Pleosporaceae
Description: eukaryotic LSU rRNA
Rfam family: Eukaryotic large subunit ribosomal RNA
Source: RNAcentral